Non-coding RNA from Echria macrotheca, 114 nucleotides. The record is from the annotation of a GenBank genome assembly. NCBI's taxonomy places the organism in Eukaryota, Fungi, Ascomycota, Sordariomycetes, Sordariales, Schizotheciaceae.
GGGCGGGUAGCGUAGUGGUCAGCGCGUUCCUAAGCGUUUCAGCGUUGUUUUCUUCUCUAUCUUCUCUUCCUCAGCGUUUAGCGAAAGACCUGGGUUCGACUCCCAGCCCGCCCA